Molecule: small nucleolar RNA, 104 nt
Filed under: Ananas comosus (pineapple)
Lineage: Eukaryota; Viridiplantae; Streptophyta; Magnoliopsida; Poales; Bromeliaceae
Description: Small nucleolar RNA snoR97
Rfam family: Small nucleolar RNA snoR97
Source: Rfam by way of RNAcentral
UAUGGAUGAUGGGCUUGGAGGCUGAGAAGCUCAGAAAUUGUGUGUUGUCUAUCAGCUUGGUCUCUUAUCAGGUGAGAUUGGAGUUAAAUAACAGCACUAAAUUU